This 684-nucleotide ribosomal RNA is filed under the name Mucor souzae. RNAcentral's name for it is "eukaryotic LSU rRNA". It matches the Rfam family "Eukaryotic large subunit ribosomal RNA", at positions 56 to 644 of the family's 3401-position model. Lineage: Eukaryota; Fungi; Mucoromycota; Mucoromycetes; Mucorales; Mucoraceae. The record is from RNAcentral.
GAAAAGAAAAUAACAAUGAUUUCCCUAGUACGGCGAGUGAAGAGGAAAGAGCUCAAAGUUGGAACCUGUUUGGCUUAGCUAAACCGGAUUGUAAACUGUAGAAGUGUUUUCCAGACACGCCUGGUAAAAAAGUCCUUUGGAACAGGGCAUCAUAGAGGGUGAGAAUCCCGUCAUUGGCCAGAGCUGUUGUCUUUUGUGAUACAUUUUCAAAGAGUCAGGUUGUUUGGGAAUGCAGCCUAAAUUGGGUGGUAAAUCUCACCUAAAGCUAAAUAUUUGCGAGAGACCGAUAGCGAACAAGUACCGUGAGGGAAAGAUGAAAAGAACUUUGAAAAGAGAGUUAAACAGUAUGUGAAAUUGUUAAAAGGGAACCGUUUGGAGCCAGACUGGCUUAAUCGUAAUCACUCUAGGCUUUGGCCUGGAUGCACUUGCGGUUUAUGCCGGCCAACGACAGUUUUGCUUGAGGGAAAAAACUACAUUGAAUGUGGCCCUUCGGGGUGUUAUAGCUUUGUAGAAAAUACCUUGGGCGGGACUGAGGAACGCAGUGAAUGCCUUUUAAGGCAAGAUUGCUGAGUGCUUGCGCUGAUACAUGCUAGAAUUUCUGCUUCGGGUGGUGCUAGUGUGUAAAGGAGUAACUCGCUUAGUAUAUUUUUUAUUCGCUUAGGUUGUUGGCUUAAUGACUCUAAA